GCGAGCGGCCGAUGGGGAGGGCGCCCAGCGUCGCGGGCCGCUGAGUCGGGCAGCGCUGUUGCUGCUGGCCUCUUGGCUGCGCCCCCUCCGCCGCCGCUGUCCCGAGACCGGCGCGGUGGGCUGCUUUGGCGGAGGAGACUGUCUCCACUUUCCGCCCCCCCCGCGAGCGCGACGCGGGGUGCCCGCCCCGCCGGACAGGUGCUUCCCUGCGAGUCGCCGAUUCUGACGCGGAGCCUGACCUCUGCGGUCCUGAUCGGGCCAGUGCGUAUGCGUAGCCGGAGUUUAUUCUGGAGGUGCACGGGCUGCGCAGGUAUAAAACUCAAAACAUGAGCAACCAUAUAUAUAACCAGUGUUCAAAGCUGAUUUGGCUAGAACUGGAAUACAGUUGCCUACAGCAUAUUCCAGAGGAAUUAGAAAAGUCAAAGUAAUGGAUAACAGAAAAGAUCCUCCAUUCUUCAAUGAAGAUAACGUGGGACCAUUUUACUACAGACUUCCUUUUUAUGAUACCAUGGAGCUCUUCAUUGAAACACUGACUGGAACUUGUUUUGAGCUGAGAGUUUUACCCUUUGAAGCUAUCAUUUCCGUGAAAGCGAAAAUUCAAAGAUUGGAAGGUAUUCCCAUCUGUCAGCAGCACUUAAUUUGGAAUAACAUGGAACUUGAAGAUGAUUAUUGCUUGAAUGAUUACAACAUUUCAGAAGGUUGUACCUUGAAGCUGGUUUUGGCUAUGCGCGGUGGACCUAUAAAUACUAGUAGAGUGUUUCCAUUUGUAGUUCCUCUGGAAGAUCCACUGAAGAAGAUGGCUGAGUACAUGGAUUCCAGCCGAGAUGAGGUCUGGGAGAAGACCUCCUGCAACAAGCAAGUUACACUUGUGGUAUACCAAGAAGGAGAUCAGUUGAAUUUCUUCCGUGUAGUAGACAGGGGAGACGGCACUCUAACACCAUUGUCUGAAUCUUUAAGUAGUGGUUCUGUGUAUAGUUUGUAUGCUGAUGAAGAUGAGGAAAUAGAGCCUUCGCCUUCUGGGCAACAGAUAAUUGAAAAUUCAAUAACUAUGAAUAAGAUGAAGCUGCUGAAGACUAAAAUGGAGAACAUGAAUCUCAGCAAAAAGCCUAAGAAAGCUGUCAAGGUAAAACCUCGUCCGCCCGUAGCUCCUCGACCUUGUGGUAGUUCCACAGCAGCUGCUCGCCAUAGGUUGCUAAGAGUCCUUCCCCACAUCGGGCAGGCUUGUUUACCUUCUGCUGGGAACACACAUCUCCCUGACUUGGCCAGCAGUGCAGUUUCCAGUUUGGCAGCUCUGCCCGCUGCUGAUAGACCCGUAUCAUCGAUCACUAGUGAUCUUCCUAAGGAAGAUGAGAACUGGGAGAGUUACACACUGUCGCACUCCAGUAGUGGCUUCAGACGACCGUCUCAGGUGCCUCACGUGGAGUUUGAAACUGACAAAGAGCUUGCUGAUGCUGUGCUCCACCUUGGAUCGUCCCUGCCUCGGCGCACAAAGCACUUUCCGGGAAGUCUGUCAUCUAACAAUGAGGAUGACGCUGUUUUAUUUCCAACUUCAGAAGAGUGUGUCACAGAAGAGUCACUUCCACCUGAAGUGGGUUCAUCUGCUUCCAUUACAGAAGGGAAUGCUGGUGAACAGAGCAGUGGCGUAGGAGGCACGCGGAAGGUAAACCCAGAAUCCUCUCUCAUUAAUGGUGAUGAAGGGUCGAAAGCUAAAGAGCAGCAUCUGAAACACGCUGCAAGAGUGUUGCAUGGUGAAUCGGUAGAGGCUUCAGUUCUCAGCCGCCAUGAAUUAAGGCCUCACAAGAAUAGACUCUUAUCACCUCUUCGCUGUUCUGCACCAAUGUCACUCCAUAAUUCUCUGGCGAAACCACAGAGACAGUCCAAAUGUUGUGAGUCUGGGAGCCUCCAGUCUUCUGCUUCACAAAACCUGCUUCGGUCACUGGAUGUUCGAAAUACAUCUGAUUCGUCUUUCUCUAGGACUACUCGCUUUCGAGCUGUUAAAGUUGAUUCAACUGGGAAAAGAUCUGAUAUUAUUUCUAAAGUUGAGGCUCGGGAUAUCACAGAAAUGGCUAACAGGGCAUCCAAAGAGCCUGUUGGUUUUGUAAAUAAUAUAGGUUUUCUUGCUUUGCUGGCCCGGAGAGCAAGCAGAGACAGCUUAGAGAGUGCACGUGGGGCAGGCAGGCUGCGGACCUCUGGAAUUGGGCUGUCUACAAACCUCCAGCAUUUUCAGGAAGAAAGCCUUAGGAAAAGUUCUCCUCAGUUAGAAACUACAGAAUUUUUUUUAUCUGCCCGUGGUAUUGGAAUGAAUGGAAAUAAUACAACAUCAGGGAAAAGAGUAGGCUUCAGAGAAGAGUUAAUGAUUAGUGAUAUCUUCUUACUGGGUAAGUAGAAUGCUACUCAGUUGACAAAGUUCCUGAGUGUUUUGGAAGAGGAGGUGGCACCUGUAAGUGGAUCUGGUGUGUCCUUCAGGUGGGGUGAUGCAGCGCGUGACAGAAAAUGGCCCUGGGAAGUUACAAAGGCAUAUUGGACACACAAGUCCUUCAAUGUCAGCCCAUGGAGUUUGAAUUUUUCCUCUUUGUAGGAGGGAACUUACCUAUUUGGGCUGGUUCCCAGCAUAGAGAUUGUGACUAAUACUUGUUUUUUUCUGUAGUGGGGAGAAAGAUAAAUGGAAACCUUUGUCAUAGGAGAAGACUGCAGUUCUGUUUCUGUGCCACCUCAUGCUGGCCACUACUGUGUGCUCUGUUUCUGCACAUUCACAGGAGUUUGUGAACGAAAAAGGGUUGGGAAACUUAAGUACCCCAAAGAAAGAAAGACAUGAAAAUAUGACUACGCUGAACUAAAUUUUUGUCCACAGAUUUUUUUUUUUUUAACUUUUGUUUAAGGAACAAUAUCCUAAGCCUGAAUUCCAGAGAUAAUUGCCAUUAGAUGGAUGUCAGAGGGUAUCUGGCAGUAUGCGCCUUUCCUCUGCAUCCUGUGCAAAUGCCUGUCUUAUUUUCAUUAUUUAAGAAGAGGAAAGCAUCCCAUCGCCUUGGUGAAAUGUUCUUGAUAACUCUUAAGUGCCCUUGAAGAAGAAAGUGCUUAUUAGUUUGAGUUGCUACCUGACCACCAUUAGGAGUCCUAAGUUAGCUUCCAGUUUGGGGCAGUUUUCCCCCAGUUUUGGGCAAGAUCUGGGAGUGUAUUUUAGACUAGUCAUAAAGCAUUAAUUUUAUUCUGCUUGUAUACACAGAACCCAAUCCGGAUUGUGGCAAAGGGCAUGCUGCCAAUUAAAUGUGAUUCAACGUUUUGAACCCUUGAAGGAUUACUUUCAGCGGCUACAUAGCAUUAAGCCAGGCCUCCCAAGCCUGUUUUGGAGAGUGCACUCAUCACCUCCCACCUGUGAAAGCCCCUGUUCAAACGAAGAAGAAAGCAGCAAAGCAUUGUUUUCUCUGUGGAAAGAAAACUGGACUGGCUACUAGCUACGAAUGCAG
Bubalus bubalis (water buffalo) is the source of this 3464-nucleotide RNA transcript. It is a transcript of the gene named zinc finger AN1-type containing 4, with no coding region annotated. Lineage: Eukaryota; Metazoa; Chordata; Mammalia; Artiodactyla; Bovidae. The transcript is spliced from 10 exons. The record is from RefSeq and is a predicted model, not a curated record.